This 188-nucleotide ribosomal RNA is filed under the name uncultured bacterium. RNAcentral describes it as "partial 16S ribosomal RNA". It matches the Rfam family "Bacterial small subunit ribosomal RNA", at positions 326 to 537 of the family's 1533-position model. The record is from RNAcentral.
ACGCUCGACACCUACGGGAAGCAGCAGUGGGGAAUAUUGCACAAUGGGGGAAACCCUGAUGCAGCGACGCCGCGUGAGCGAAGAAGUAUUUCGGUAUGUAAAGCUCUAUCAGCAGGGAAGAAACUGACGGUACCUGACUAAGAAGCACCGGCUAAAUACGUCNCNNGCGCGUAUNUNGCGGCGNGNAG